AAAGGGUUUUCUCAGUUUCCCUUUCGAUUGUAACGCUCUCAAUUACUUACAUCCAAAACGCUUCGCUCUGGACUCAUCAUACGAAUCUCGACGUUUUUCCUUCUGGUGGUCAAGGCUUCAGUUUUCAGUCUACCACCUCUUCUAAAGCCAUUCGCCAAGGCGUCGCCGUUCCAUUCCCCUCUUCCUAUUUCUCUUCUCCCAUUCGCUGCGUUCCAUUAAUCAGGAUUUCACUUCCGGUGUCGCUGCGUUUCAUUCGCUUCUUCUGUGGGUGGUUAUUGUUUUCAUCCAAGAUCAUUUUCUAUCAAUCCAUUUCCUUUUGGUUACUACUGUCUUUGCUCACAGGUUUUUGGGGUUUAAAAUGAGGGAACACUCCUUUGAGGUAAGCUGCAUUUUGUCUCUCAUUGUUCGUUCUAUUUAAAAUUUGAUUUUUGAUUAUUUUGGUAAUAUACUUCUGAAAGGUUGUUCCCUUUUCCUUAAAUUUUAGUUUCUGAAAGGAUUGAGAAAAUAUGCAUGGAGUAAGGACAAGUUUGAUUACUUCCAAUAUCUGCGAUUUCCCUAGCUUGAAAUCAUGAAAUCCUAUUUGUUUGUACUCUCAUCCAUCCAAAUACUCAUAAUUGAAUGUUAUGUGUACUUCUGUCUUUGAUAUGUCAUAUUUUGUUCAUAGACAGAACAGAAGCAUCGCUAUGUGAAGCCUAGCCACUCAUGCAAAAACUCCAGAAUGAGAUUCUUACACUGUCACGCUGAUGUUGGGGAGAAACCUUUGUAUGGUGCCAUUUGUUGUCCUUAAGAAUUCCUUCCGCUAUUUGAUUCUCUGCUCCGUUUCUGGAAAUCGCUCUCGCUUACAAUCUAAUUAAGGAUUCCUUCUAUUCUGGAAUUUUGUGCACCGUUUCUGGGUAUCGAUCUCACUCUGAAUCGGUGACAGAACCCCUAGGGUUGUAAUGGCUUCUGCAGAAUUUCUCCCUCUGCAGAUUAUUGAUGUGUUAUAUAUCUGCUUCGUUUCUCUGAAUCUCACUCCGGAUCAGUCAUCAGUAUUUACCUCACCAUUCGCUCUGUUCAAGUAAGGGUUUGCUCUAUUCUAUGCAUUCCAGACUCUUAACGGUUGCAAUCCAAGGUUCCAGUGAGGGAUUGUGUUUUGAUUCUUCCACUUAUUUUAAAGCCCCAAUUCGAUCUGCAAUCAAGGCUACCAAGACUCUUUGCUUUUUUACAGGUCCCGAUGGGACUCUCGGAGGAUGAGGAUGCGUCAGAAUUAAAAGGACUACGACACUGAUUUGAGAUUGAGAGAGCACAGACACAACGAAGGUUGUUGAGGAUAAGAGUGUUAUUGCUUCAAAUGAUACAUUUGGAGAAGUAAGAAGUGCAGUUGAGCAUCUUGGUGAUACUACAUGUGUUUCAGUUUCAUCAUUCAAGAGAUGUCUCCACUAAUGCAGGUUACUGUCAAGUAGGAAGCUUUGUGACUGUUCAAGAAAUGUACUAAUAGUUGUACACCUUAUUUGUUGUUGUUUUAGUUCUCUAAGACAUCAGCUGUGAGAGAAUCUCUCCCCUAGGAAUUGAGCAUGUCCCUGGAAACAUCUCUCAUUUUACUUUUGUUUGUAUAACUCUACUAUGUAAUUGUGUGAAAUCUUAUACCAUACUAUUUCACAGGUAAGACCCUAUAGGGAGAAGAAAUCAGCUAACAUAUAUGCCAUGACAAAGUUGAAAAAGUCUGAAACGCUUGGGACAUGUGAAAUUUUAUGUUUUCCUUAAUAGCAUUAAAGUUUCUUAUUUUCAUUCUUCAGUUAAUAUUAAGAUUAAAAGGAAGUUCUUUGUGAUAUUGUAUUUUUAGUUUCAUUAUUUUAUUUGAUUAUUUUUAGUUCAUUGAA
Lotus japonicus is the source of this 1859-nucleotide long non-coding RNA. RefSeq lists it as uncharacterized. The record is from RefSeq and is a predicted model, not a curated record. The transcript is spliced from 4 exons. NCBI's taxonomy places the organism in Eukaryota, Viridiplantae, Streptophyta, Magnoliopsida, Fabales, Fabaceae.